AUUGAACGCUGGCGGCAUGCCUUACACAUGCAAGUCGAACGGCAGCACGGGUGCUUGCACUGGUGGCGAGUGGCGAACGGGUGAGUAAUACAUCGGAACAUGUCCUGUAGUGGGGGAUAGCCCGGCGAAAGCCGGAUUAAUACCGCAUACGAUCUACGGAUGAAAGCGGGGGACCUUCGGGCCUCGCGCUAUAGGGUUGGCCGAUGGCUGAUUAGCUAGUUGGUGGGGUAAAGGCCUACCAAGGCGACGAUCAGUAGCUGGUCUGAGAGGACGACCAGCCACACUGGGACUGAGACACGGCCCAGACUCCUACGGGAGGCAGCAGUGGGGAAUUUUGGACAAUGGGCGAAAGCCUGAUCCAGCAAUGCCGCGUGUGUGAAGAAGGCCUUCGGGUUGUAAAGCACUUUUGUCCGGAAAGAAAUCCUUGGUUCUAAUAUAGCCGGGGGAUGACGGUACCGGAAGAAUAAGCACCGGCUAACUACGUGC
This 486-nucleotide ribosomal RNA is filed under the name uncultured beta proteobacterium. RNAcentral's name for it is "bacterial SSU rRNA". It matches the Rfam family "Bacterial small subunit ribosomal RNA", at positions 30 to 508 of the family's 1533-position model. Lineage: Bacteria; Pseudomonadati; Pseudomonadota; Betaproteobacteria. The record is from RNAcentral.